Molecule: transfer RNA, 73 nt
Filed under: Nanobdellota archaeon
Lineage: Archaea; Nanobdellati; Nanobdellota
Description: tRNA-Tyr
Rfam family: tRNA
About the family: Transfer RNA (tRNA) molecules are approximately 80 nucleotides in length. Their secondary structure includes four short double-helical elements and three loops (D, anti-codon, and T loops).
Source: RNAcentral
CCCCUCUUAGCUCAGCGGCUAGAGCGAUCGGCUGUAGACCGAUAGAUCCCUGGUUCAAAUCCGGGAGAGGGGA